This 391-nucleotide unclassified non-coding RNA is filed under the name soil metagenome. RNAcentral's name for it is "partial contains 5.8S ribosomal RNA, internal transcribed spacer 2, and large subunit ribosomal RNA". The stretch from base 1 to 122 matches the Rfam family "5.8S ribosomal RNA", at positions 35 to 154 of the family's 154-position model. The record is from RNAcentral.
GAUGAAGAACGCAGUGAAAUGCGAUACUUGGUGUGAAUUGCAGAAUCCCGUGAACCAUCGAGUCUUUGAACGCAAGUUGCGCCCGAAGCCAUUAGGCCGAGGGCACGCCUGCCUGGGCGUCACACGUCGUUGCCCCCCCAUCUACUCCUUCGGGAUUGCGGGGGGCGGAUGAUGGCCUCCCGUGCGCCUCGUCGCGCGGUUGGCAUAAAUGCCAAGUCCUCGGCGACGCACGCCACGACAAUCGGUGGUUGCGAAACCUCGGUUGCCCGUCGUGUGCGGUCGUCGCGCAUCGAGGGCUCGAAAAAAUUGCCGGGCUUCGGCUCGACUUUCAACGCGACCCCAGGUCAGGCGGGGUUACCCGCUGAAUUUAAGCAUAUCAAUAAGCGGAGGA